RNAcentral lists this ribosomal RNA (404 nucleotides) under uncultured bacterium. Its description in RNAcentral is "bacterial SSU rRNA". It matches the Rfam family "Bacterial small subunit ribosomal RNA", at positions 355 to 776 of the family's 1533-position model. The record is from RNAcentral.
UGGGGAAUAUUGCACAAUGGGGGAAACCCUGAUGCAGCGACGCCGCGUGAAGGAAGAAGUAUUUCGGUAUGUAAACUUCUAUCAGCAGGGAAGAAAAUGACGGUACCUGACUAAGAAGCUCCGGCUAAAUACGUGCCAGCAGCCGCGGUAAUACGUAUGGAGCAAGCGUUAUCCGGAUUUACUGGGUGUAAAGGGAGCGUAGGCGGCAGGGCAAGUCUGAUGUGAAACUCCGGGGCUCAACCCCGGACUUGCAUUGGAAACUGUCAGGCUGGAGUGCGGGAGAGGCAGGCGGAAUUCCUAGUGUAGCGGUGAAAUGCGUAGAUAUUAGGAGGAACACCAGUGGCGAAGGCGGCCUGCUGGACCGUAACUGACGCUGAGGCUCGAAAGCGUGGGGAGCGAACAGG